This 739-nucleotide long non-coding RNA is filed under the name Brassica napus (rape). RNAcentral describes it as "long non-coding RNA (BNAP_LNC021326)". Lineage: Eukaryota; Viridiplantae; Streptophyta; Magnoliopsida; Brassicales; Brassicaceae. The record is from RNAcentral.
GUGUCGAUCAAUACUACAAAGUGUCGAUCGAUACUUCUUUUAGACAAGCAUUAAUGUUCAGAUCGAUUUGUUCACUAAGUUCAUUAAACCAGCUCUCGCAUGCGCCUAACAAGUUAGCUCAACAUGAUUCUGUUCAUGUAAUUGACCAGCUCUCGCAUGUGCUUAACACUUCAAGAAAUAUGAGUUUUGUUAGUAGUAGCUGAUAGGGUUUUUUGACUUUCUGGUAUGGUUGACACACCCCUUAGUUUUAGAUAGCGUUUGUUUAAAUGCAAACGCUAUGAUGAGUUGGUCCGAUUUUAAUUCUGCAAACGCUUUUUAGAAACACAGAAUACAUAGCACUGUUAGUUUUGAAACACUAUGCAUAAUUAAAGCGGGAAAAUAUUUUCAUUUUCUCUCUCACCCUUGUUUUAUUUUCCCUCUCACUUCAUCUCAUUUGUCAACCCUCAAACAACCUUAAACCCUAAAAUCUAAACUUUAAAUACAACCCCUAAAACUCAAAUAUUGUCUUAUUUUAAGCUCAAAUCUUAAGUUUAAAUUCAAUUUUAAUAUUUCAAAAGAAAUUAAUUUCAAAUAUUAAAUCCAAACCUCAAACCCUAAACUAUAGACCUUUACCAUACCCCAAAUUAAUCAUAUACCCUAAACUCUAACCAAAAAUCUUAAAACUCUAAACUUUUUAUUAUUUAAGUUCAAAUCUCAAAUUUAAUUUAAAAUCUUAAAUAUAAAAUCAAAAUACUAUCUC